RNAcentral lists this ribosomal RNA (497 nucleotides) under uncultured bacterium. Its description in RNAcentral is "partial 16S ribosomal RNA". It matches the Rfam family "Bacterial small subunit ribosomal RNA", at positions 28 to 507 of the family's 1533-position model. The record is from RNAcentral.
GAUGAACGCUGGCGGCGUGCCUAAUACAUGCAAGUCGAGCGAACAGAUGAGGAGCUUGCUCCUCUGACGUUAGCGGCGGACGGGUGAGUAACACGUGGAUAACCUACCUAUAAGACUGGGAUAACUUCGGGAAACCGGAGCUAAUACCGGAUAAUAUAUUGAACCGCAUGGUUCAAUAGUGAAAGACGGUUUUGCUGUCACUUAUAGAUGGAUCCGCGCCGCAUUAGCUAGUUGGUAAGGUAACGGCUUACCAAGGCAACGAUGCGUAGCCGACCUGAGAGGGUGAUCGGCCACCCUGGAACUGAGCCGCGGUCCAGACUCCUACGGGAGGCAGCAGUAGGGAAUCUUCCGCAAUGGGCGAAAGCCUGACGGAGCAACGCCGCGUGAGUGAUGAAGGUCUUCGGAUCGUAAAACUCUGUUAUUAGGGAAGAACAAAUGUGUAAGUAACUAUGCACGUCUUGACGGUACCUAAUCAGAAAGCCACGGCUAACUACGUG